AUGAACGCUGGCGGCGUGCCUCAUCCAUGCAAGUCGAGCGAACAGAUGAGGAGCUUGCUCCUCUGACGUUAGCGGCGGACGGGUGAGUAACACGUGGAUAACCUACCUAUAAGACUGGGAUAACUUCGGGAAACCGGAGCUAAUACCGGAUAAUAUAUUGAACCGCAUGGUUCAAUAGUGAAAGACGGUUUUGCUGUCACUUAUAGAUGGAUCCGCGCCGCAUUAGCUAGUUGGUAAGGUAACGGCUUACCAAGGCAACGAUGCGUAGCCGACCUGAGAGGGUGAUCGGCCACACUGGAACUGAGACACGGUCCAGACUCCUACGGGAGGCAGCAGUAGGGAAUCUUCCGCAAUGGGCGAAAGCCUGACGGAGCAACGCCGCGUGAGUGAUGAAGGUCUUCGGAUCGUAAAACUCUGUUAUUAGGGAAGAACAAAUGUGUAAGUAACUAUGCACGUCUUGACGGUACCUAAUCAGAAAGCCACGGCUAACUACGUG
Molecule: ribosomal RNA, 496 nt
Filed under: uncultured bacterium
Lineage: Bacteria
Description: partial 16S ribosomal RNA
Rfam family: Bacterial small subunit ribosomal RNA
Source: RNAcentral